RNAcentral lists this ribosomal RNA (449 nucleotides) under uncultured bacterium. Its description in RNAcentral is "SSU rRNA". It matches the Rfam family "Bacterial small subunit ribosomal RNA", at positions 26 to 518 of the family's 1533-position model. The record is from RNAcentral.
AGAGCGAACGCUGGCGGCAGGCUUAACACAUGCAAGUCGAGCGGGCGUAGCAAUACGUCAGCGGCAGACGGGUGAGUAACGCGUGGGAACGUACCUUUUGGUUCGGAACAACACAGGGAAACUUGUGCUAAUACCGGAUAAGCCCUUACGGGGAAAGAUUUAUCGCCGAAAGAUCGGCCCGCGUCUGAUUAGCUAGUUGGUGAGGUAACGGCUCACCAAGGCGACGAUCAGUAGCUGGUCUGAGAGGAUGAUCAGCCACAUUGGGACUGAGACACGGCCCAAACUCCUACGGGAGGCAGCAGUGGGGAAUAUUGGACAAUGGGCGCAAGCCUGAUCCAGCCAUGCCGCGUGAGUGAUGAAGGCCCUAGGGUUGUAAAGCUCUUUUGUGCGGGUAAGAUAAUGACGGUACCGCAAGAAUAAGCCCCGGCUAACUUCGCGCCAGCAGCCGC